RNAcentral lists this ribosomal RNA (248 nucleotides) under Botrytis cinerea. RNAcentral describes it as "partial large subunit ribosomal RNA". It matches the Rfam family "Eukaryotic large subunit ribosomal RNA", at positions 398 to 663 of the family's 3401-position model. The record is from RNAcentral. Lineage: Eukaryota; Fungi; Ascomycota; Leotiomycetes; Helotiales; Sclerotiniaceae.
CGUGAAAUUGUUGAAAGGGAAGCGCUUGCAAUCAGACUUGCACUUGGUGUUCAUCAGGGUCUCGUACCCUGUGUACUUCAUCAAGUUCAGGCCAGCAUCAGUUUGAGUGGUUAGAUAAAGGCUUAGAGAAUGUGGCCCUCUUCGGGGGGUGUUAUAGCUCUAGGUGCAAUGUAGCCUACUUGGACUGAGGACCGCGUUUCGGCUAGGAUGCUGGCGUAAUGGUUGUAAGCGACCCGUCUUGAAACACG